UGCAUCAUCUUUGAUCUUAAGAUAUGCUUCCUCUUCAAUAUUACUCAAACAAGUACCAUCUAGUUCUUCACUAUUGGUCAGAUAAAAUUUGAAGGUACCUUCUACGAAAUCAGACCUUGAAUUUAGCAUCAUUCUCUUAAUGGAAGGGCAAUCAUAUGCCAAAACAUGGUUUAGAUUUGGUGGAAGCUUUGGAACACAUUGAAGUAAUUUGCAAUCACUUAAAUCAAGUGAUCUCAAACUUGACAGAUGAGCCAUGCUCUCAGGAAGGUUCACAAUACUGCUUCCUUGCAGUGAAAGUUCAGUCAAGGAUGACAAGCAGACACUGUCAUUUGGUAUUUCAGGAAAGGUCUGAAGCAUUGAGCAACCUUUGAAAUUGAGUUCUGUCAACUUCAAUUUGAAAAUGCUGCUUGGAAAAGUUUCAAGUGAUUCACAGUUGGUAAGGUCUAAUUCGAGGAGUUUACUGAGAUUUCCAAUGGAAGAUGGAAUACUCUUAAGCUUUGUGCAUCUUUGCAAGAUCAGCUUUUCAAGCCCGGCCAAACGGUCCAGAGAUGAAGGUAGUUCUUUUAUUGCUGUUUUGUUUAAGUAGAGCACUUUUAAAUUUUCCAUAGUCUCCUUGAUUUCAGGUAACUCCUCCAACUUUAAACAACCACUGAGAUCAAGUUUUCUUAGAAACUUUAAAUUUAAAAGUUCUGCUGAUAGGGAUGUUAGGGACUUGCAUCUGAAAAUAUCUAACCAAUAAAAAUCAUUGAUACUAGUUACUGGAAAUGAUCCCAGAGUAAAGUACACCCCUUGUCCCAAAAAAAAUUUCAUUCUUUCAAACUUAUAAUAUCUAUAAGAAUGAGUAAAUUGAACCACAUGAUCAGUUCUACUGCUGAUUAAAAGUGUUUCAAGGUUGUAACAAUUACUGAGAGACACUAAUCCAGAUGGUCUUGAUAGAAUAUUGCUAGGAAUAUCUAUACUCUUGAGUUCAGUACAACCUUCCAUAGAUAAAAUGUAAAGGUUGUUGAGGAAGCUAGAGGAGUAAACUUCUGUCAAACUUAUACAGCCAUUAAGACGUACUUCUUCAAUAUUUGGACAAAAAGAGAGGUCUGGUAGUCUUGUCAGCUUCUUAGAAUUGUAAAGGUCAAGCCUUUUCAAAUUUGGUAAAGUCUAGAGGAAAAUAAUGUAAUGAUUAACCAAAAAAUAAUGAAUUUUGAGCAUAAAAGUAUGUACCAUUUCAUUUGAUAAAUCUUGGAACAAAAAUAACAUAAUUUCAUUUUGAAGUACUACUUUAUUUUGAGUCACGAUCCCAUCUUUUAACAUGAUGACACAUAACAAAUUUCUCUAGAAUGCAAAUUUUAUUGAUCUAAUUAAAUGUUUGAUUAAAAAAAUUAUUUAGAGGAUUAAAAUGAAACUAACAAUUUAGUUAAGGGACCAAAAGAGCAAUAUAGUCUAACAUUUUUAAAUUAUAAUUCUAGGAAUGUUUUAAAAUUAUUUAAAAAUUUGUAUAUGUGAUUCAAUAUAUAAUGUUUUUGAAUUAUAAUUAUAUAAUCAAAAUAUAAAAAGGCACAAAAUAUAUAGCUUGAAGACAUGAAAUACCUGAUCCCCCUCCCAAAGUUGUUCAAGAUCGCUAUAAGACAUUUCAAGUGUAACAAGAUUUCUUGGGCAAAAGUCUAGCGGCAAAGAUCUUUGAGGGAAGUAAUCCCAAUGAAGAAAUUUUAAUGCAUCUGGAAAACUCUUAAGAAACCCGUUAAAGGUCACAAUUGAGUUAUGCCUAAAGCCAAUGUAGAAGUUGAUCAUUCUAAGAUGAUGCAUUUUCUUAAAUGUAUCAGCAUCUAGUUGAACUUUCUCGUCUAUGUCUAGGGAUAUACACUUGAUUGCAUCUGUUCCCUUUCCCUAAAAUCAAACAUUAUGAAUUAUUAGAGAUAAAUAAACAGGAAAAAAUUGUUAAUCACUUUGCAACACAUGUGGGAAAUUAAAUUCAUUACAGAGAGCGAUUUAUCAAGUGAUCUUUGAGGGGAUAAAGAACAUACCUUGUUCUUGCUUAAAACAUCGUAAAUAUCACUAGCCUUCCAUAAUCGACUACGUUUUCCAGGAUCAUCGACACAUUGAAGCCUAACAAUUUCAUGCCCCAUUUCUUGUAUUAGAUCAUGCAUCCAAACACUACCAUGUUUUGAAAUAGAUAUAAGGGACCUAUCUUUGAGAACAUCCAUUCCAAUGUCAGCAGAGAAACCACAAGAAUCCAAUGUUAUUGCUACAUCUUUCUCAUAUUGUCCUCUAUGGAAACAAGCUAUGUCAAGAAAUAUAUCCUGUUCGUCUUCGUCAAGUUCAUCAUAACUCAACUUCAACAAUCUGAAAAUUUCUCGAUCGGGAAGCUUUUUAAGCUUUUGCAACUGACUUUCCCAUACUUCAUUUGGUUUGCCACGAAGCAAUGAGCCCAAAACUUUGAGAGCUAAUGGAAGCCCUUUAGCAUAAUGUAAAAUUUUUUCUGUUAAGCUCACAAAAGAUUCUUUUGGAUGGUUUUGUUUAAAGGCAAAUAAACAGAAGAGUUGUAGAGAAUCUUGUUUAUCCAUUUCACUAACUUGAUAUAUUUUAUCAUCACCGGCAUUCAUCAGCACUUGCUUGUCUCUACUAGUCAAAAUGAUUCUACUCCCCUGACCAAAGUUACUAUGUGUUCCAAUUAAACCUUUAAGUUGAUCAGAAUCUUUCACAUCAUCAAAAACAAGAAGAACCUUCAUCCGUUUCAGCCUUGGAUCAAAUGAAAAAUUGUAUUCAGAGGAUGUAAUGUCUCCCCCUAGAAGUUUUGAUAAGUAUUUGCUUUUUACAUGGUCUACUCCAACUCUUUCUAUUUCUUGUUGAACAUUUAGAAUGAUGAUUCUUGAACUAAACUGAGUUGCGAGUUUUUCAAAGAUUGCAGUGGCAAUUGUUGUUUUGCCUAUCCCUCCCAUGCCCCAUAUUCCUAUGAUACGAACAGUCGGCGAUUCAAGUUGCAACAAGGGUUGGAUUUGUUGAAUGUGUUUGUCCAUUCCAGUCAUUUCUUCAGAAUAAUCACUUGAGACAGGACGAUUCAAUUUUUUCAAAAUAUCUUCUGCAAUCUUUUCAACAAGGGUGCUUUCUGGUCUGACAAAUGACAAAUAAUAAUGAUAAAAACUAAAGCAUUAGUAUUCAAGUUUAAUGGAGAAGCACAAACAAUAAUGUAAAAUGAUUUGGAAAAUGCUAAAGUGUGAAUUAAAGUUAUCAUAUUACCAUUAACUUUUUCUUUUAUUUUCUUUUUUAGUAUGUUUAACAAGUAACUAACUGAGACUGAGGGCACCGUUUAGCAUACCAAAUAAUUUUACAUUUUUAUCCAAUAACAAUAACAGACGACCAAUCUACCAUGCAUACAACUAAUUUCAAUAUAACUCUAUGAUUUGUUGGAAUAUAAGAUAUUUAUUGGAUGUUGAUGUAAAACUAUUUUACAUUGUAAAAAUUAAAAAAUAACUAAAAAAGGAGUAGUUAAUAAAUCUUUCUUUUAAUUUAAUUAUACUUCAAAUUCAUAUAUUUUCAUUAAUUAAUAUUUUUUCCUGACAUCAUUAACAUACUCUCUUUGUACCAAAAUAUAAACAACAAUGAGUCAAACAAACUUGUAUCUAAAAUCGUUUGAUAGUUCCCGUGAGCAUAACUCAAUUGUCAUAGACAUUAUAAAUUAUUAAAAGGUAAAAUUCUAGCCAACUCAUGCAUUCACAUGGCCAUUGUUGGUGGGCGUUUAAUUUAGAUCUACCAAUAUUAGGGGUGCACAAAAUAACCGGUUAUAGUGAUUAAUCCACAACCAUAUUCAAAUCCAAAACCAAAAAACCGGUUAAUUCUAAAAUGAAACUAACCGGUUUAUUGAUAUACGGUUGGGUUAUCCAAAUAUAAAAAUCGAUUAUUUAACCGGAUAUCUAUAUCCAAAACCAAUAUCUUUUUGUUGUUUUUGUCAAAGCAAUUUUUUUGUUCUUAUACACUAGUUCCUAAUUUAAUUUUUUUUUUACAAUUAGUUUCUAUUUUAAUUAAUCUUUAUAAAUUGUCAAAAUCAAAAUUAUUAAUUUAAUUUCAUAUUUCCUAAAAGUGGAACAAUCAUUAAAUUAUUCAAAUUCCCAAUUUUUUAUAUGACAAUUUUUCAAAAAGCUCAAAUGCCAAUUUUUCAAAUGAACCAAAGUCCAUUUUACAAACACAUUAAAGCCCAAUUUUUAAAAUUUAUUAUAUAAUUUAAUAAAUAAAUAUUUAAUUCUAAGGGUGGAGGGGCUGGCGGUCAACGCAAGACCACCGGCGGCUGGCGCGGCAGAGCUCUAGCCGACGCGGCGGUGACCAGUGAUUUUCCGGCGAGACACGGCGGCUGGCGGUGGUGUCCAGUGACCGGCCACGCCACCCACCCUUUAAUAUUUUAUUAUAUAUUUUAAUUAUUAUGUGAUGUAAAAACUGUUAUUUUUAAAAUAAUGAAGAAAACAGAUUGUUUUUAAUUUAAAAAAAAAUCAAAUCAGUUUUUUUUCAUAUAAUAAAUAUAAGUAUUUUUUUGUACAUAAAUUUAUGUUUUUUAAUAUUUUAAUUAUUAUUUUAUUUAAAAAAUUUAUUUUUAAAAUAAUUAUAAAACAGGGAUUUUUUAAUGUUUUCAUAUAAAAAAAAUCAAAUCAAAUCUGUGUUUUUUUAAAAAAUAUCCUAUAAUAAAUAUCAGUAUUGUUUUUGUACAUAUAAUUAAUUCAGGCAAAUAUAUAUAGUUUAUGUUAAAAAUUUAAUCUUUUUAAAAUGUAAAGUAAUCAAAAUUAAAAUGGCAUUUAAGUAAUAUCCGGUUUUAAAUUGAAUUUGAUAAAUAACCAAUUUAAAAUCCGAUUUAUAAUUUUAACUAGUUAUGUAACUAUAACCAAAUUUUAUAACCAGUUUAAUAUCCGGUUUAUAAAUGGAUUGGUUUUGGAUAAAAACCGACCAUGAACACCCGUAUCCACCAGUGCCGACUUGUUUAGUGUGUGACUGGAGGGAAUCCAAUUUGCAUGAUCAGUUUGGAAAAAGUUGAGUAACAAUUGCAAUAGCAUGUAAAUAAAUUAGUGACCUGAUUUUUUGUGAAUCCAAGCCUGAGAGAUUGGCUACUUGAGUUAGAGCAGCCUUCCACACGUCCACUUUGCCGCCAAAUCGUUGAUGAUGCUUAGCUAAAUCAUCUGCAUAACUCUCUCUCUGAUGCCUAACAUUUGAUGGAUCCACCUUAUAGAACACUGGUAUCACUUCCCUUUCAUAUUCCUUCUUACAUUUCAGUAUCUCUGUCAGUUCAUCUAAACACCAACUUGAAGAAGCAUAGUGUUCUGAUAAAAUGAUCACAUAAAUUGUUGAUUCUUCAAUUGCUUUGUUCAGUGCUGGUGAAACCUCAUCACCGCUCUCAAUUCUAUAAUCAAUGAAUGUUUCAAUUUUUUUCCUCUGCAAUUCUUUAUCAAGAUGGCUCACGAAGUUGUCACGAGUAUCCUCUCCUCUAAAACUCAGGAACACAUCAUACUUUGGAACAGACAUAGCAAUAGCAGUAUAACAGAAUUGGACGGAGAUGAAUUUCUUUAUUGUUUCUUGUUGGUUUUGUGCAUUUUUCCUUUAGUUUGAACGUUUAUAAAUACUUUGUCAGGAAACUUCCAUGUAUUUUCUAUCUUGUUCACAGCUUGACUAGUUGACUUUGCAUCAGUUAAGUCACGCAAAAACCGAAACAAAGCUAGAGAGCCACUCAUUUGUUAUCUUUUUGAUAAGGAGAAUGUUAACUUGUGCCCUUAAGGCACAUGUUAAGAAGCAAAAAUAGAAAUUAUUAAAUGCUAAUUUGUGCAUUUUGACUUUUGAAGCAUUAAAUUUCUUAUAUCAUUAAAUGUUGAAUUUCUAUUUUGAUAUAUCUUAACAUGUGCCCUAAGGGCACAUGUUAACAAGACCCUUUUGAUAAUCUAGAGAGCCACUCAUUAUUUCCAUGUAUUUUACUUGGACUAUAAUGUCCUCUCUUCUAACUUUUUUUAUGUUAAUCAUAAUUAAGUUUUAGGAUUAUUAUAGAUGUUAGCUAUANNNNNNNNNNNNNGAAGAGGGAUCCACCAAACACACAGCAUCCCCAAUUGGUUCUUCGAUGCUAUUAUCAUCAUUUUCUUUUGUAUACAAAGGACAUAUUCCACAUUCUUUCACCGUCAUGGUUGUUGGAUAACUUAAGGGACGACGAUGCUCAUCUAGGAUCUCAAAAGUGAUAGUGUCUGCACCAAUGAGCCCGUUGCCAAUUGUUGCCAAGUCCAAUUCAUACUUCCAUAGGAAUGUGUGAUCUUGGAAAAAACUUCUAUUUUGACGCAUCCAAUCACAUUUAACUUCAAACUUGAUGGGAUGAAAGUGUGUUUGACCAUCGGAUUCAAAUUUUAAUUGGUAUGUAAAGCAAAUACAAUUAUAUAAAGGUGUGGUUCUGAGAUCAAAUGGAAAGUCACGUCCCAAAACCACACUCAGAGCAAAACCAAUAAGAGAGAUAACUACAUAAAAUCUGCAACGAUUGUUGUGCAAAUAUUUUCACAGAUUUUUGCAUAUCUCUCUUCUCUCUCUCAUAAACCAAAUAAUAUGACAAAUCUACUCAAUUUCUCUUAUUUUUCUCUCCUCAUACUCUCUCACACCUCUUUCUCUCUUUUCAUUUUAUCUUUACAACCAAACAAAGCAUAUAUGAAUUCUUUAUCAUAUUGACUUUUUACAAGAGAGAUAACUCUGCAACGAUUGUUGUGCAAAUAUUUUCACAGAUUUUUGCAUAUAAAAUUAACAAAUAUUUUUUGCAUAUACAAACUACCAAUGUUAUUUGGGAUUUUUGUUAAGUUGCAACAGACUGAACAAUCAAGCAGGGAUAGAAGGUUUAGCUUCGCAAUGCUGUUUGGAAGCGACACCAGAUUACAACAAAGAUUCAGAAACUAGGUUUGCAACCCAACCAAAUACUCCAAUGAUGAAGGCAAAUAUUUAAUUACUGUUUUUGUUAAGUUAAUGUGCGCAAAACUUUCUGCAGGCUUCAAGAUCUUUGGAAAGAUUCUAAGCAUUGAACUUCAAUUGAGUUGUAUAACUGAACACACACACAUGAAAUGUUGCUGUCAUCAUUAGUUGUUACUUCCUCUUGUGGAUUGUUGGUUUUCUUUAGAGGAAGGAGGAAUGCAACACACACAAUUUUAUUGAUACUAUCAUCCUUUAAAUACAUGAAAAACAUAACAUAAAAAACAUAAACAUAAACAUAAACUACCUUAAAUUUGUAACAUACCCACUAAUACUCAUAAUUCCUAUAGUUAAAACUUGUAAAAAUAGGAAUCCUAAGAAACUCAAUAAAUUCUAUUAAACUAUCAAACUCUAUUAAACUUUCAUUUUGUAUCAUAGUUUGUCAAAAAAUAAAACUAUACAUAGUUAUCAAAAUAUUUAAAAUUCAGCAUAUAGCAUGUGCAUAUAACAUUGAUUAUAAACAACAUUUUUUAUCCUUAUACCAAAAAACAACAUUUUUUAUCUAUCAGUGUGAGUUUUUUUAAUUUAAUUUUUCAAAAAUAUUGGCAAUACUUUUUCACCCUCAUAAAAUUUACACUAAAAAAAGUCAAACAUAUAUACUUUGAUUUUCCAAGCCAUGAAAUAUGAAUACUAUAGAUGUUAGCUACACGGAUGUUGUUCCAGUAAAAACAAAAAAAAAACGAAAGAAAAAACAGAUGUGCAUGACAUGCAUUGCUGGUUCUAAGGAAUUACAAAUUUACUAUGAAUGAAACUAUAAAAGAGUAAAUAUCAAUAAUCAACAAUUAAAUUAUUAUUAUUAUUAUUAUUAUUAUUAUUUUGUUAGAAUCUGAACAAUAAAAGAUUACCCGGCACAACCAAUACAAAAAAUAAUAGCAACAAAAUUCUUUUCUAUUUUUUUCUUCUUUAAUUUUGUGUGUAGUAACCACCUAAGGAGAGAUUCAAAUCCAACAAACACACUGCAUCCCCACUUGAUUCUUCAAUGCUAUUAUCAUCAUUUUUUUUGGCAUACAGAGGACAUAAUCCACAUUCUUUCACUGUCAUGGUUGAUGGAAAACUUAACGGACGACGAUGGUUGUCUAGGAUCUGAAAAGUGAUAGUGUCUGCAUCAAUGAGCCCGUAGCCAAUUGUUGCCAAGUCCAAUUCAUACUUCCAUAAGAAUGUGUGAUGUUGGGAAAAUCUUCUCAUUGGCAUCCAAUCAUAUUUACCUUCAAACUUGUUGGGAUGAAAGUGUAUUUGACCAUGAUCAGGUUCAAAUUUUAAUUGGUAUGUAAAGCCAAUACAAUUAUACCAAGGUGCUAUGCUGCUGCUGAGAUCAAAUGGAAAGUCACGUCCCAAAACCACACACAGAGCAAAACCAAUAAGCUUGUUUCCCCCAUACAAAUAUAAAUCAUCACUUCUUAUAGUUAUUGAAUGUCCCUGGCAACGGUGACGGAACCAAUAAGGAAUUGCACUUCCUGGAAAACAGAACAACACUGACCUAUAUGCAUCAUCUUUGAUCUUAAUAUAUGCUUCCUCUUCAAUUUUACUCAAAGAAGUACCAUCUAGUUCUUCACUAUUGGUCAGAUUAAAUUUGAAGGUACUUUUUUGGAAAUCAGACCUUGAAUUUAGCAUCAUUCUCUUAAUGGAAGGGCAAUCAAAUGCCAAAACUUGGUUUAGAUUUGGUGGAAGCUUUGGAACACAU
Molecule: long non-coding RNA, 8635 nt
Filed under: Trifolium pratense (red clover)
Lineage: Eukaryota; Viridiplantae; Streptophyta; Magnoliopsida; Fabales; Fabaceae
Description: long non-coding RNA (TPRA_LNC001258)
Source: RNAcentral